Molecule: non-coding RNA, 437 nt
Organism: Chlorocebus sabaeus (green monkey)
Lineage: Eukaryota; Metazoa; Chordata; Mammalia; Primates; Cercopithecidae
Source: RefSeq, a predicted model, not a curated record
CAUCUAACAUUUUAUGAAUAAACUGAUGAGGUAGUUAUAAUGGAAAAAAGACAUAACCUCAACCGCUACCAACACUAUAGAACAAAUUACUUCUGAAUGAAUUGCUGAUCUAAAUUUUCAUGGGAAGUCUUUGUCUAGGUCUCUUUUCCUUUCCAACUCAAGACCCUCGGUGGACAGCACCUAAGCACGAAGACAACUGCAAGUUUCUGGCCAGGGCCAUUCUCCGGUGAAACUGAAAGGUUUCUGUGUGGAAGUGCCUGACUGCCACCGCUUGGUUCAGUAAUAGUCCCUGAUCCCUAUGUGUGAUGCAGUUGGCAGCAGUAGCUCGUCCAGGGCGAACUCACAGGUUUCAGACCACUAUGGGCAACUCUCCACCUCUUCCACCUGAUUCCAUGCUUGGCUAUAUCCUCAACCAUUGAAAUAAAUUUGACCCUGAC